AUCCAGCUGACGAGUCCCAAAUAGGACGAUACACGCGUUCUGGAU
This is a non-coding RNA of Schistosoma curassoni, 45 nucleotides long. The record is from Rfam. Lineage: Eukaryota; Metazoa; Platyhelminthes; Trematoda; Strigeidida; Schistosomatidae.